This is a long non-coding RNA of Chinchilla lanigera (long-tailed chinchilla), 1045 nucleotides long. RefSeq lists it as uncharacterized. The transcript has 2 exons. NCBI's taxonomy places the organism in Eukaryota, Metazoa, Chordata, Mammalia, Rodentia, Chinchillidae. The record is from RefSeq and is a predicted model, not a curated record.
ACCAAAACAGCCGCUAUCAGUGAGACUCCUUCACUCUGGGACCCAGUGCAGACAAAGACCUGCUCGAUCGGGGGCUGCCCGGCUCUGGCAAGCUCGCUGUGGUACAGCCUCUGAGUGGUCACCAAAGCCUAUGCCCUACACACAGCCAGGCCCCCUGCCCGCGUCCCUCGCCAUUCGUGUGACCACAGGCUUGAGCUCAUUAGCAGCAUGGGAAGUGAUGUGUGUCCUGUCCAGGCCUGGCCAACAAGAAAGCUUCCUGAGAAGUUCUCUCUCUCUCUCUCCCCUUCCCCAUCUGCCAAAUGCAAAGGAGCCGGCAGCAGACCCCAAGUGCACAAGCGAUGACGGAGCCACGAGAUUUGCAGGGCUGCUGACCCAAUGCUUGCACUGAACUGCUUGCUAUGUGGUUGAGAAAGUUGCCAGAAUCCUAGCAAAUGGAAUGAAUGCACGAACCUAGCGCUGACAUGCUCGGCACGUUUGGGACUGAGAGCCUGAACAGCUCCGUCCACGCCUUCCUCACCAGCUCCUGGCCUGACCACUGCAGACGUCACCGCUCUGAACUUCCACAAGCCGCAUACAGGCCUUUGCCCUCUGGCGAGGUCACACCACGGCUGAGGGGAUGGAGCACGACCUUGGGGCCAGGGGUCAGGCAGACCUGAACGUCUGACCAUAGUUAAUUUGCCACAGAUCUGUGUUGAUCCUGCAGGAGUUAUCUAACCUCCCUGAGCCCAUUUCCUCUCCCAUAAAAUAAGGGCAGUAAUGCCUUGCAGAGCGUUAGGAGAAAGAAGUCGUGUCCAGCACCUCAGAGACGGAGGCUGCUGGGGAACUGGGACGGAACACAGCUCUGGGACAGAACACAGCACUGGGAGGAGAUAGGGCUUAGGAAUCAGGCAGAUCUGAGUUCAGCUCUUUCUCCUCUGUUUAGCUGCAUCUUCUUAAAAGAGACAUUGAAACGGAAGGCUCCACUCCCUAGUAUUUAGGAGGUUUUCAUCUCACAAGCCUAGCAAAUUGGAUACCACAAUAAUUAAAAGCACAAUGUAGCAUCGUG